This 451-nucleotide ribosomal RNA is filed under the name uncultured bacterium. RNAcentral's name for it is "partial 16S ribosomal RNA". It matches the Rfam family "Bacterial small subunit ribosomal RNA", at positions 28 to 507 of the family's 1533-position model. The record is from RNAcentral.
GAUGAACGCUGGCGGCGUGCCCAACACAUGCAAGUCGAGCGGCAGCGAGGGGUGCUUGCACCCUGUCGGCGAGCGGCGGACGGCUGAGUAACGCGUGGGAACGUGCCCCAAAGUGAGGAAUAACUGCCCGAAAGGGUAGCUAAUACCGCAUAUUAUCUUCGGAUCAAAGGAUUUAUCCGCUUUGGGAGCGGCUCGCGUCGGAUUAGGUAGUUGGUGAGGUAAUGGCUCACCAAGCCGACGAUCCGUAGCUGGUCUGAGAGGAUGACCAGCCAGACUGGAACUGAGACACGGUCCAGACUCCUACGGGAGGCAGCAGUGAGGAAUCUUCCACAAUGGGCGAAAGCCUGAUGGAGCAACGCCGCGUGCAGGACGAAGGCCUUCGGGUUGUAAACUGCUUUUAUAAGUGAGGAAUAUGACGGUAACUUAUGAAUAAGGAUCGGCUAACUACGUG